RNAcentral lists this ribosomal RNA (2931 nucleotides) under Escherichia coli. RNAcentral's name for it is "23S ribosomal RNA". It matches the Rfam family "Bacterial large subunit ribosomal RNA". Lineage: Bacteria; Pseudomonadati; Pseudomonadota; Gammaproteobacteria; Enterobacterales; Enterobacteriaceae. The record is from RNAcentral.
GGGUUGUGAGGUUAAGCGACUAAGCGUACACGGUGGAUGCCCUGGCAGUCAGAGGCGAUGAAGGACGUGCUAAUCUGCGAUAAGCGUCGGUAAGGUGAUAUGAACCGUUAUAACCGGCGAUUUCCGAAUGGGGAAACCCAGUGUGAUUCGUCACACUAUCAUUAACUGAAUCCAUAGGUUAAUGAGGCGAACCGGGGGAACUGAAACAUCUAAGUACCCCGAGGAAAAGAAAUCAACCGAGAUUCCCCCAGUAGCGGCGAGCGAACGGGGAGCAGCCCAGAGCCUGAAUCAGUGUGUGUGUUAGUGGAAGCGUCUGGAAAGGCGCGCGAUACAGGGUGACAGCCCCGUACACAAAAAUGCACAUGCUGUGAGCUCGAUGAGUAGGGCGGGACACGUGGUAUCCUGUCUGAAUAUGGGGGGACCAUCCUCCAAGGCUAAAUACUCCUGACUGACCGAUAGUGAACCAGUACCGUGAGGGAAAGGCGAAAAGAACCCCGGCGAGGGGAGUGAAAAAGAACCUGAAACCGUGUACGUACAAGCAGUGGGAGCACGCUUAGGCGUGUGACUGCGUACCUUUUGUAUAAUGGGUCAGCGACUUAUAUUCUGUAGCAAGGUUAACCGAAUAGGGGAGCCGAAGGGAAACCGAGUCUUAACUGGGCGUUAAGUUGCAGGGUAUAGACCCGAAACCCGGUGAUCUAGCCAUGGGCAGGUUGAAGGUUGGGUAACACUAACUGGAGGACCGAACCGACUAAUGUUGAAAAAUUAGCGGAUGACUUGUGGCUGGGGGUGAAAGGCCAAUCAAACCGGGAGAUAGCUGGUUCUCCCCGAAAGCUAUUUAGGUAGCGCCUCGUGAAUUCAUCUCCGGGGGUAGAGCACUGUUUCGGCAAGGGGGUCAUCCCGACUUACCAACCCGAUGCAAACUGCGAAUACCGGAGAAUGUUAUCACGGGAGACACACGGCGGGUGCUAACGUCCGUCGUGAAGAGGGAAACAACCCAGACCGCCAGCUAAGGUCCCAAAGUCAUGGUUAAGUGGGAAACGAUGUGGGAAGGCCCAGACAGCCAGGAUGUUGGCUUAGAAGCAGCCAUCAUUUAAAGAAAGCGUAAUAGCUCACUGGUCGAGUCGGCCUGCGCGGAAGAUGUAACGGGGCUAAACCAUGCACCGAAGCUGCGGCAGCGACGCUGAUGCGUUGUUGGGUAGGGGAGCGUUCUGUAAGCCUGCGAAGGUGUGCUGUGAGGCAUGCUGGAGGUAUCAGAAGUGCGAAUGCUGACAUAAGUAACGAUAAAGCGGGUGAAAAGCCCGCUCGCCGGAAGACCAAGGGUUCCUGUCCAACGUUAAUCGGGGCAGGGUGAGUCGACCCCUAAGGCGAGGCCGAAAGGCGUAGUCGAUGGGAAACAGGUUAAUAUUCCUGUACUUGGUGUUACUGCGAAGGGGGGACGGAGAAGGCUAUGUUGGCCGGGCGACGGUUGUCCCGGUUUAAGCGUGUAGGCUGGUUUUCCAGGCAAAUCCGGAAAAUCAAGGCUGAGGCGUGAUGACGAGGCACUACGGUGCUGAAGCAACAAAUGCCCUGCUUCCAGGAAAAGCCUCUAAGCAUCAGGUAACAUCAAAUCGUACCCCAAACCGACACAGGUGGUCAGGUAGAGAAUACCAAGGCGCUUGAGAGAACUCGGGUGAAGGAACUAGGCAAAAUGGUGCCGUAACUUCGGGAGAAGGCACGCUGAUAUGUAGGUGAAGUGAUUUACUCAUGGAGCUGAAAUCAGUCGAAGAUACCAGCUGGCUGCAACUGUUUAUUAAAAACACAGCACUGUGCAAACACGAAAGUGGACGUAUACGGUGUGACGCCUGCCCGGUGCCGGAAGGUUAAUUGAUGGGGUCAGCGCAAGCGAAGCUCUUGAUCGAAGCCCCGGUAAACGGCGGCCGUAACUAUAACGGUCCUAAGGUAGCGAAAUUCCUUGUCGGGUAAGUUCCGACCUGCACGAAUGGCGUAAUGAUGGCCAGGCUGUCUCCACCCGAGACUCAGUGAAAUUGAACUCGCUGUGAAGAUGCAGUGUACCCGCGGCAAGACGGAAAGACCCCGUGAACCUUUACUAUAGCUUGACACUGAACAUUGAGCCUUGAUGUGUAGGAUAGGUGGGAGGCUUUGAAGUGUGGACGCCAGUCUGCAUGGAGCCGACCUUGAAAUACCACCCUUUAAUGUUUGAUGUUCUAACGUGGACCCGUAAUCCGGGUUGCGGACAGUGUCUGGUGGGUAGUUUGACUGGGGCGGUCUCCUCCUAAAGAGUAACGGAGGAGCACGAAGGUUGGCUAAUCCUGGUCGGACAUCAGGAGGUUAGUGCAAUGGCAUAAGCCAGCUUGACUGCGAGCGUGACGGCGCGAGCAGGUGCGAAAGCAGGUCAUAGUGAUCCGGUGGUUCUGAAUGGAAGGGCCAUCGCUCAACGGAUAAAAGGUACUCCGGGGAUAACAGGCUGAUACCGCCCAAGAGUUCAUAUCGACGGCGGUGUUUGGCACCUCGAUGUCGGCUCAUCACAUCCUGGGGCUGAAGUAGGUCCCAAGGGUAUGGCUGUUCGCCAUUUAAAGUGGUACGCGAGCUGGGUUUAGAACGUCGUGAGACAGUUCGGUCCCUAUCUGCCGUGGGCGCUGGAGAACUGAGGGGGGCUGCUCCUAGUACGAGAGGACCGGAGUGGACGCAUCACUGGUGUUCGGGUUGUCAUGCCAAUGGCACUGCCCGGUAGCUAAAUGCGGAAGAGAUAAGUGCUGAAAGCAUCUAAGCACGAAACUUGCCCCGAGAUGAGUUCUCCCUGACCCUUUAAGGGUCCUGAAGGAACGUUGAAGACGACGACGUUGAUAGGCCGGGUGUGUAAGCGCAGCGAUGCGUUGAGCUAACCGGUACUAAUGAACCGUGAGGCUUAACCUUACAACGCCGAAGGUGUUU